CUCCUCCCCCUCUCCAUCCCCCUCUGACAUGAGAACUGGUGGAUGCUUGCUGCAUCGCCAACGUAACGUGGGAGUUGAAGCAGCCGGUGCCCGACGAAGUGACAGCGGGCGGUGCAGACACCGACAGCAGCCGAGGCUGUGCUUCCAGCUGUGAGGCGGCGGCAGCGGCCGCCUCUGGCUCAGGAAUUGGCCUGGGCUCAGACCAAGACCACAGCCUCGCGCCGCCCACAGCCUUUACACAAGGCGGUGCACACGGGGAAGCUCAGCGGUUUGAAAAGAGAAGGCUCGAGACUCACCUGGGAACAAAUGUAGGGCCCGAGACUCCUAACGACUCUGAAUGCUUGUCAAUAGAUGUUCAAUAAUAGCAACAGUUUUGAUACUUCAGUGAGCCUUGGGACAGGGUCUGGCCAAACAUCAAACCCAUUCUCUUUGUGCAGCUGACCAGUGAUGCUGGAAGAUGACAUGUGCUGCUAGCAUCCAGAAUUUCCCACAUGGUACAUGAUUUUACUUAAAAGAACUGAAGCACUGCUAUUCCUCUAUUUAGGAAUAAUUAAAUAAUUGUUACUUUGUUCUUAA
Leucoraja erinaceus (little skate) is the source of this 576-nucleotide long non-coding RNA. RefSeq lists it as uncharacterized. The record is from RefSeq and is a predicted model, not a curated record. The transcript has 2 exons. Lineage: Eukaryota; Metazoa; Chordata; Chondrichthyes; Rajiformes; Rajidae.